CCUACGGGAGGCUGCAGUGGGGAAUAUUGCACAAUGGGGGAAACCCUGAUGCAGCAACGCCGCGUGAGUGAGGAAGUAUUUCGGUAUGUAAAGCUCUAUCAGCAGGGAAUAGAAAAGAAGGUACCUGAAAAAGAAGCCCCGGCUAACUACGUGCCAGCAGCCGCGGUAAUACGUAGGGAGCGAGCGUUGUCCGGAAUUACUGGGCGUAAAGGGCGCGUAGGCGGGAACUUAAGUUAGAUGUGAAAACUCCGGGCUUAACCUGGAGACUGCAUUUAAAACUGGGUUUCUUGAGGGCAGGAGAGGAAAGUGGAAUUCCUAGUGUAGCGGUGAAAUGCGUAGAUAUUAGGAGGAACACCAGUGGCGAAGGCGACUUUCUGGACUGUACCUGACGCUGAGGCGCGAAAGCAUGGGGAGCGAACAGGAUUAGAUACCCUAGUAGUC
This 441-nucleotide ribosomal RNA is filed under the name uncultured bacterium. Its description in RNAcentral is "partial 16S ribosomal RNA". It matches the Rfam family "Bacterial small subunit ribosomal RNA", at positions 338 to 795 of the family's 1533-position model. The record is from RNAcentral.